Molecule: non-coding RNA, 1083 nt
Organism: Xyrichtys novacula (pearly razorfish)
Lineage: Eukaryota; Metazoa; Chordata; Actinopteri; Labriformes; Labridae
Source: the annotation of a GenBank genome assembly
CCCUCCUUCCGCAAAGAUCUCCAGAGAUUCCUUGGCUUCGCCAACUUCUACUGGUGAUACAUCUGGGAUUUCAGCAAGGUUGCUGCCCCCCUCACUAAGCUCACGUCCAUUAACAUCCCCUACCGUUGGUCUCCUAAAGCUGCCUCCACGUUCGCCAAACUAAAGACUCUAUUUACCUCUGCCCCAGUGUUGAAACAUCCUGAUACCUCCUUGCAGUUUAUUGUCGAGGUGGACGCCUCGGACUCUGGAGCUGGAGCAGUUUUGUCUCAGAGGGAUCUGGGAACCCAGAAGCUACAUCCAUGCACCUUCUUUUCCCAUCGUCUGUCUCCAGCAGAAAAGAAUUACGACAUAGGUAAUAGAGAGUCGCUGGUUGUAGUGUGAGCACUUCAGGGGUGGAGGCACUGGCUGGAGGGAGCCCAGCAUCCAUUCCUAAUCUGGACCGACCACAAGAAUCUCUCUUACCUGCAUUCUGCUCGGCGACUCAACUCCUGUCAAGCACGCCGGGCGCUUUUCCUGAGCAGGUUUAACUUCACCCUCUCCUAUUCUUGGUUCCUGCAAUGCUAAGCCAGACGCCCUCUCCCGAGUCUUCAGCUCCUCUUCAGACCCCAGUGAGCUGGACUAGAUCCUCCCUCCUGCCUGUGUCAUCGGAUCAGCCUCCUGGGACAUCAAGGCGGGCAUAGAAGAGGUGCUGAAGACCCAACUUGACCCCAAGACUGGACCCUUAACCAAGAGGUUCGUCCCGGAGGCCGCCUGAUUCCAGGUGUUACAGUGGGGACACUCGUCCAGACUCACCUGCCAUCCAGGUAUGCACAGAACACUCCUCUUUCUCCAGCAGAGACUCUGGUGGCGCGGGACUCUCUAUGUUCAGGCUUUUGUGGUGGCCUGUCCCGUUUGCUCGGGGCAAGUCAUCCCAUCAGCCCCCAGCUGGUCUGUUGUGUCCACUGCCCAUACCUUUCCGCCCUUGGUCCCAUAUUGUGCUGGAUUUUGUCACUGGUGUCCUGCGAUCUGAAGGUAACACUGUAAUACUUACCAUCAUAGACAGAUUCUCUAGGUGUGUUCACAACGUGCCAUUACCCAAGUUUC